RNAcentral lists this ribosomal RNA (477 nucleotides) under uncultured bacterium. Its description in RNAcentral is "bacterial SSU rRNA". It matches the Rfam family "Bacterial small subunit ribosomal RNA", at positions 365 to 832 of the family's 1533-position model. The record is from RNAcentral.
UUCGCAAUGCCCGAAAGGGUGACGAAGCGACGCCGCGUGUGGGAAGAAGGCCUUCGGGUUGUAAACCACUGUCGGGAGUUAAGAAAUGCAAGGAUAUUAAUAGUGUCUUUGCUUGACUAAGGCUCCGGAGGAAGCCACGGCUAACUCUGUGCCAGCAGUCGCGGUAAUACAGAGGCGGCAAGCGUUGUUCGGAAUUAUUGGGCGUAAAGAGCACGUAGGCGGCUAUGUAAGUCGGUUGUGAAAGCCUUCCGCUCAACGGGAGAACAGCAUCCGAUACUGCAUGGCUUGAGUGCGGGAGGGGAGAGUGGAACUUCUGGUGGAGCGGUGAAAUGCGUAGAUAUCAGAAGGAACGCCGGCGGCGAAAGCGGCUCUCUGGCCCAUAACUGACGCUGAGUGUGCGAAAGCUAGGGGAGCAAACGGGAUUAGAUACCCCGGUAGUCCUAGCCGUAAACGAUGGGCACUAAGUAGAGGGGUUUU